RNAcentral lists this unclassified non-coding RNA (455 nucleotides) under Hevea brasiliensis (rubber tree). Lineage: Eukaryota; Viridiplantae; Streptophyta; Magnoliopsida; Malpighiales; Euphorbiaceae. The record is from RNAcentral.
AGAAAUUUCCAGGCCGAGGAUCUUCAUUACUCGUCCAUGAAGUGAUCACAUUUCGUAAGCCACUAAUUUUAUUGAAACCAAAUCUCAUAUGGCGUAAUAACGUAUCUGUAGGAUGCUGGAAGCUCUGCCACAAAUAAUUGGACUCACCGUAGUAUCGGAGAACAAGAUUCCCGGUAUCCAACAAUAUUCCGAUAGUAGAAUUUGAAGUUAAUAAUGGUUCCCGUGAUGUUGAUGAGACAUUCGAUGACCAAAUGAGUUCACCUUUUUCAUCGAAAAUCACUAAAUUUCCAUCACCGCCGACAGUGAAAACUGGUGAAGCAUUUGAUGGGAUUGGAGAUUCUCUGUUGGCUACCCAAACAACUGUUUGUUGAGGGAUUAUGUUGUACCAUAUGCCAAGAUAGGUGUACAUUGAAUUUGAUGGAAUGAAAAAUCCUAAGGCGAAACUUCUAUCAGAU